CAAGAAGGAAGUCAUCCUCUUUCUCUUCCUCUUCCUCCUGCUCUAGAGCCGCCAUGUGAGCACGACAAGAGAAGACACCUACCACCGGCAUACUAUAUGCACCAAGUUGCACCAUGAUGACAAUGGACUAAACCUCUGAAAAUCCUGAGACAUAUACUUGGUGGCCAGAGUUUUGGAAUCUGAGUGACCCCACCAGGUGGACCACCUUAACCAGCAAGAAUUCUCACAGAGUGUGAGGAAAAUGCAGAAGGUAAUGGACCAGGGGCAGAAGACCAUGGAAAAAUACAACUCCUGCAGGAGGAGGAAGAGGAGUCCAGAAUUGACAUGACUGAGUUCAGAGACUCUACGAUCUCGCUAGAGGAGUCGGAGAGCCUGUACUGAAACACGCUACACUAUGGUCCAGGCUAGAGGUUCACAGACCACCGUGGUAGUAUCCGGAUAGGACCUUGAGGCACUGUGGCCCCUUUGUGACAUAAGUUCUCCAAUAAUAAAUGUAUUGGUUCUACUA
Molecule: long non-coding RNA, 508 nt
Filed under: Cricetulus griseus (Chinese hamster)
Lineage: Eukaryota; Metazoa; Chordata; Mammalia; Rodentia; Cricetidae
Description: lncRNA (ENSCGRG00015032687.1)
Source: RNAcentral